Long non-coding RNA from Hibiscus syriacus, 1256 nucleotides. RefSeq lists it as uncharacterized. NCBI's taxonomy places the organism in Eukaryota, Viridiplantae, Streptophyta, Magnoliopsida, Malvales, Malvaceae. The transcript has 3 exons. The record is from RefSeq and is a predicted model, not a curated record.
UCUGAAACCCAGCAGUGCUUUAAGCUUAGGCAAGUCAAUAAAACACUCGCAGCUCAAUCAAUCAGAGACGACGAUGAUUCUGCUGCUGAAACCCAUCACUCGACUGUCUCUCCUCCAAAACCAUUUCCAGAUUACCCAUAAUCCAAAACCGAGACCCAUUUGAUUAUCAUGCAGUUUGAGCCACGAAGCUCAGAAAUUAGUGCGUGAAUUCGACCCCAAGAUUCUCACAGAGCAAGCCAUCACUCCGCCUUCGUCCUGGUACACUGACCCCUCCUUUUACUCUCUUGAGCUCGAUCGCGUAUUCUACAAGGGUAGGCAAGCUGUUGGUUAGUAUACAUAUACAUAAUAUUCCAAGAAUCUCUACAUAGAUUGUUGAAUUUUGUUCGGGUUUCCCCCCCUUCAUGUUUUUUAAGGAUAUAUCGAACAGAUAGAACAACCCGUGAUUUUUUCAGCGGCAGACUGGGAAAUGUGGAAUUUGUGGUAUGCAGGGAUGAUGAUGGGAAAAUAGCUGCUUUUCACAAUGUUUGUAGGCAUCAUGCCUCUCUUCUUGUGUCUGGAAGUGGGAAAACCUCUUGUUUUACUUGCCCUUACCAUGGAUGGACGUAUGGGUUAAAUGGAGCACUUCGUAAGGCGACCAGUAUUUCGGGAAUACAGGACUUCGUUGUAAAUGUAUACUGUCGAGUACUUUAGCAUAAAUGUUUGCCUUUUUGUUAGUUCGACUGCAAUCUUUUGUUUUCUUGUAUCAUAUUUUCCAGUUAGUUGAUAACUUUGUGGACACCUGUUGCAAUUGAUAAUAGAAAUUCGGGCUUGUACCAAUACAAGUUGCUACUUGGGGACCAUUUGUUCUUCUGAAUAUGGAUAAGGAGUUUGCUACUGACUGCAUUGCAAGUGACUGGCUUGGUAGCUCCUCUGAAAUAUUCAGCCUCAAUGGAGUUGAUUCCCCAUUAAGUUAUGUUUGUCGUCGUGAGUACAUCAUCGAAUGUAACUGGAAGGUGUCUCUGUAGUUAACGGAAGUUCCCUCAAUUUUAUAUGUUUCUCUUAGCAUUUUGUGAUGAUUCCUAAUGUAAUAUACAAGGUUUCCUUGUAGUUUUCAUAAAGCUGUCCAUUAAUCCGUUAGCUUCAUCUGUGGAAAAGGCUUUAAUUAGUAUUAUCACUACCACAAAAAACAUAAUGUUCUCUCCAAUAUUAGAUUGUGUAUUCCCCAUGUUAAUGAUGAUAUGAUUGUGGUGCAAAGCUUGCUGAACAUACAUACAGCU